RNAcentral lists this ribosomal RNA (396 nucleotides) under uncultured bacterium. RNAcentral's name for it is "bacterial SSU rRNA". It matches the Rfam family "Bacterial small subunit ribosomal RNA", at positions 29 to 430 of the family's 1533-position model. The record is from RNAcentral.
AUUGAACGCUGGCGGCAUGCCUUACACAUGCAAGUCGAGCGCGAAAGGGGGCAACCCCGAGUAGAGCGGCGGACGGGUGAGUAACACAUCGGAACGUGCCCAGUAGUGGGGGACAACCUCGAGAAAUCGAGGCUAAUACCGCGUACGCCCUACGGGGGGAAAGCGGGGGACUUUCGGGCCUCGCGCUAUUAGAUGAGCCUAAGUCCGAUUAGCUAGUUGGUAGGGUAAUGGCCUACCAAGGCGACGANCGGUAGCUGGUCUGAGAGGACGACCAGCCACACUGGGACUGAGACACGGCCCAGACUCCUACGGGAGGCAGCAGCGGGGAUAUUGGACAAUGGCGCAAGCCUGAUCCAGCGAUGCCGCGUGUGUGAAGAAGGCCUGCGGGUUGUAAAG